Molecule: ribosomal RNA, 579 nt
Filed under: Trichosporon japonicum
Lineage: Eukaryota; Fungi; Basidiomycota; Tremellomycetes; Trichosporonales; Trichosporonaceae
Description: LSU rRNA
Rfam family: Eukaryotic large subunit ribosomal RNA
Source: RNAcentral
GCGAGUGAGCGGGAAGAGCUCAAAUUUGAAAUCUGGCAGUCUUCGAUUGUCCGAGUUGUAAUCUAUAGAGGCGUUUUCCGUGCCGGACCGUGUCCAAGUCUCCUGGAAAGGAGUAUCAAAGAGGGUGAUAAUCCCGUACUUAACACGACCACCGGUGCUCUGUGAUACGUCUUCUACGAGUCGAGUUGUUUGGGAAUGCAGCUCAAAAUGGGUGGUGAAUUCCAUCUAAAGCUAAAUAUUGGCGAGAGACCGAUAGCGAACAAGUACCGUGAGGGAAAGAUGAAAAGCACUUUGGAAAGAGAGUUAAACAGUACGUGAAAUUGUUGAAAGGGAAACGAUUGAAGUCAGUCGUGUUCUUUGGAUUCAGCCAGUUCUGCUGGUCUACUUCCUUGGAACGGGUCAACAUCAGUUUUGUCCGGUGGAUAAAGGUAGUAGGAAUGUGACUUCUCCGGAAGUGUUAUAGCCUAUUAUCACAUACACUGGGUGAGACUGAGGACUGCAGCUCGCCUUUAUGGCCGGUCUUCGGACACGUUCGAGCUUAGGAUGUUGACAUAAUGGCUUUAAACGACCCGUCUUGAA